GCUAGUGUGGUGUAGUGGUUUGAGCACUGGACUACCACUCUGGAGACCAGGGUUCAAAUCCUGGCUCAGCC
Non-coding RNA from Phrynosoma platyrhinos (Desert horned lizard), 71 nucleotides. Lineage: Eukaryota; Metazoa; Chordata; Lepidosauria; Squamata; Phrynosomatidae. The record is from the annotation of a GenBank genome assembly.